This is a long non-coding RNA of Bufo bufo (common toad), 145 nucleotides long. RefSeq lists it as uncharacterized. Lineage: Eukaryota; Metazoa; Chordata; Amphibia; Anura; Bufonidae. The transcript has 3 exons. The record is from RefSeq and is a predicted model, not a curated record.
GAACAACAUACUGCCCCAUAGAACUAAAUACCACAGUCCAUCACAAAAUACUGCUGCCAGUAGUACAAAAUACAUCCCCAAAAACUUCCACUGGCCAGCCGUGAGGAGGACUCAGGUGGUCCCCUGGUCAUCGGCCCACAAGGAA